RNAcentral lists this transfer RNA (88 nucleotides) under Candidatus Aenigmarchaeota archaeon ex4484_224. RNAcentral's name for it is "tRNA-Phe". It matches the Rfam family "tRNA". From Rfam's summary of the family: Transfer RNA (tRNA) molecules are approximately 80 nucleotides in length. Their secondary structure includes four short double-helical elements and three loops (D, anti-codon, and T loops). RNAcentral also lists the same sequence under 1 other name. The record is from RNAcentral. Lineage: Archaea; Nanobdellati; Candidatus Aenigmatarchaeota.
GGGACCGUAGCUCAGCCCGGGAGAAAUCAUUCCCGAAAGCGACCGGCUGAAGACCGGUGUGUCGUGGGUUCAAAUCCCACCGGUCCCA